GACGGAUUCAGUCCCAAGAAGCUAAAGUUUUUCAAAGACAUUUGUAGGGAGGACUUUGCAGCUAAUGAUUUCCUUAGGCUGAACCAAAACCUGCCAGACUAAAGUUGAUUUGGGAGAGAAAGACGUUGUAAACUCACUCAUCUUGACAUUCUUCAAUGAGUAAUUGUUCAAUUUUUAGGCAAAUACUGUACACUUUGAAUGGUGUGAAUAAAACUAUAUUUUAAAUAUAUUUAAAAUGAA
Long non-coding RNA from Paramisgurnus dabryanus, 240 nucleotides. RefSeq lists it as uncharacterized. NCBI's taxonomy places the organism in Eukaryota, Metazoa, Chordata, Actinopteri, Cypriniformes, Cobitidae. The record is from RefSeq and is a predicted model, not a curated record.